UACGAAGGGGGCUAGCGUUGCUCGGAAUCACUGGGCGUAAAGGGUGCGUAGGCGGGUCUUUAAGUCAGGGGGGAAAUCCUGGAGCUCAACUCCAGAACUGCCUUUGAUACUGGGAAGCUUGAGUCCGGGAGAGGUGAGUGGAACUCCGAGUGUAGAGGUGAAAUUCGUAGAUAUUCGCAAGAACACCAGUGGCGAAGGCGGCUCACUGGCCCGGUACUGACGCUGAGGCACGAAAGCGUGGGGAGCAAACAGG
RNAcentral lists this ribosomal RNA (253 nucleotides) under uncultured bacterium. Its description in RNAcentral is "partial 16S ribosomal RNA". It matches the Rfam family "Bacterial small subunit ribosomal RNA", at positions 524 to 776 of the family's 1533-position model. The record is from RNAcentral.